GAAAUGCGAUAAGUAAUGUGAAUUGCAGAAUUCAGUGAAUCAUCGAAUCUUUGAACGCACCUUGCGCUCCUUGGUAUUCCUUGGAGCAUGCCUGUUUGAGCAUCAUGAAAUCUUCAAAGUAAAUCUUUUGUUAACUCAAUUGGUUUCUACUUUGGUAUUGGAGGUCUUUGCAGCUUCACACCUGCUCCUCUUUGUUCAUUAGCUGGAUCUCAGUGUUAUGCUUGGUUCCACUCGGCGUGAUAAGUUAUCUAUCGCUGAGGACACUGUAAAAGGUGGCCAAGGUAAAUGCAGAUGAACCGCUUCUAAUAGUCCAUUGACUUGGACAAUACUUUUAUGAUCUGAUCUCAAAUCAGGUAGGACUACCCGCUGAACUUGAGC
Molecule: unclassified non-coding RNA, 378 nt
Filed under: plant metagenome
Description: partial contains 5.8S ribosomal RNA, internal transcribed spacer 2, and large subunit ribosomal RNA
Rfam family: 5.8S ribosomal RNA (bases 1-105)
Source: RNAcentral